Humulus lupulus (European hop) is the source of this 219-nucleotide long non-coding RNA. RefSeq lists it as uncharacterized. The transcript has 3 exons. The record is from RefSeq and is a predicted model, not a curated record. Lineage: Eukaryota; Viridiplantae; Streptophyta; Magnoliopsida; Rosales; Cannabaceae.
AUCAUCAUCAUCAUCACAAUCACGUACACAAUGCUGUUGUCACUAAUGUUACUAUUGUUUCCGAAGGAACCCUCGAUAUUGAUGAGGUGACUGGACAAUAACACUUUGAGUGAAGCAAUUCCUGCAUCUUUGGCUAACAUGACACAGCUUGCCUUCCUGGACCUGUCAUACAACAAUCUAAGUGGUCCAGUACCAAGGUUGCUUGCCAAGACCUUUAAG